UCGGGUUGUAAAGCACUUUUGUCCGGAAAGAAAACUUCUGCCCUAAUACGGUGGGAGGAUGACGGUACCGGAAGAAUAAGCACCGGCUAACUACGUGCCAGCAGCGCGGUAAUCGUAGGGUGCGAGCGUUAAUCGGAAUUACUGGGCGUAAAGCGUGCGCAGGCGGUUCGUUAAGACAGAUGUGAAAUCCCCGGGCUUAACCUGGGAACUGCAUUUGUGACUGGCGAGCUAGAGUAUGGCAGAGGGGGGUAGAAUUCCACGUGUAGCAGUGAAAUGCGUAGAGAUGUGGAGGAAUACCGAUGGCGAAGGCAGCCCCCUGGGCCAAUACUGACGCUCAUGCACGAAAGCGUGGGGAGCAAACAGGAUUAGAUACCCUGGUAGUCCACGCCCUAAACGAUGUCAACUAGUUGUUGGGGAUUCAUUUCCUUAGUAACGUAGCUAACGCGUGAAGUUGACCGCCUGGGGAGUACGGUCGCAAGAUUAAAACUCAAAGGAAUUGACGGGGACCCGCACAAGCGGUGGAUGAUGUGGAUUAAUUCGAUGCACGCGAAAAACCUUACCUACCCUUGACAUGGUCGGAACCUGCUG
This 588-nucleotide ribosomal RNA is filed under the name uncultured Burkholderia sp. RNAcentral's name for it is "bacterial SSU rRNA". It matches the Rfam family "Bacterial small subunit ribosomal RNA", at positions 418 to 1002 of the family's 1533-position model. Lineage: Bacteria; Pseudomonadati; Pseudomonadota; Betaproteobacteria; Burkholderiales; Burkholderiaceae. The record is from RNAcentral.